Long non-coding RNA from Carassius gibelio (silver crucian carp), 476 nucleotides. RefSeq lists it as uncharacterized. The record is from RefSeq and is a predicted model, not a curated record. NCBI's taxonomy places the organism in Eukaryota, Metazoa, Chordata, Actinopteri, Cypriniformes, Cyprinidae. The transcript has 3 exons.
GGGAAUAUUAGAGUGAGAGCGAGUAUGGACGACUUAACUGAACGGUCUCUGAUCACAGGAAGUGGAAGUGGGAUCACCGAAGGAGGACUGAAGGCAGAAGAAGACUGGCCGAUCUUUGAGGGUUCUCAGAAGAUUCGCAGAUUCUCAGAUCUAUUCUUCUCCUCCGCCGCUCAGUUGUUCUGGGACUGAAUGACGUUUAAAGCACUGAAAGGCUCCGCUCCUAUCUGUCCUUGGAGAACGAAGCUGUUCUCCUAUCAAAUCACAUCUUUCACAUACAAAAGAUUAGAUUAUAUAAGUGUCUGGAACACAUUUGAGGCAGCUCAGGGGAACACUACAGAAAGUUCCAUUCAAGAUGGACUGGAGAGAUGCAGGGUUUUUUGUUUGUUUGUUUGGUUGGUUUUUGUGCAUAUUAACAAAACACAGGCACAAUCAGUGUGUGUUGUCCAGUUAACACAUGCAAAAUUAUUUUAAAUUGC